GGACCGGUGGUGUAGUGGUAACACAUUGCGACUGGAUGUGGGGAUGGGUGGUUCGAUUCCUUCCCCGUCCG
This 71-nucleotide transfer RNA is filed under the name Gongylonema pulchrum. It matches the Rfam family "tRNA". From Rfam's summary of the family: Transfer RNA (tRNA) molecules are approximately 80 nucleotides in length. Lineage: Eukaryota; Metazoa; Nematoda; Chromadorea; Rhabditida; Gongylonematidae. The record is from Rfam by way of RNAcentral.